Molecule: ribosomal RNA, 879 nt
Filed under: uncultured bacterium
Lineage: Bacteria
Description: bacterial SSU rRNA
Rfam family: Bacterial small subunit ribosomal RNA
Source: RNAcentral
CGGUAAUACGGAGGGUGCGAGCGUUAAUCGGAAUUACUGGGCGUAAAGCGCAUGCAGGCGGUUUGUUAAGUCAGAUGUGAAAGCCCGGGGCUCAACCUCGGAACCGCAUUUGAAACUGGCAGGCUAGAGUCUUGUAGAGGGGGGUAGAAUUUCAGGUGUAGCGGUGAAAUGCGUAGAGAUCUGAAGGAAUACCAGUGGCGAAGGCGGCCCCCUGGACAAAGACUGACGCUCAGAUGCGAAAGCGUGGGUAGCAAACAGGAUUAGAUACCCUGGUAGUCCACGCCGUAAACGCUGUCUACUUGGAGGUUGAGGUUUAGACUUUGGCUUUCGGCGCUAACGCAUUAAGUAGACCGCCUGGGGAGUACGGCCGCAAGGUUAAAACUCAAAUGAAUUGACGGGGGCCCGCACAAGCGGUGGAGCAUGUGGUUUAAUUCGAUGCAACGCGAAGAACCUUACCUACUCUUGACAUCCAGCGAAGCCUUUAGAGAUAGAGGCGUGCCUUCGGGAGCGCUGAGACAGGUGCUGCAUGGCUGUCGUCAGCUCGUGUUGUGAAAUGUUGGGUUAAGUCCCGCAACGAGCGCAACCCUUAUCCUUGUUUGCCAGCACGUAAUGGUGGGAACUCCAGGGAGACUGCCGGUGAUAAACCGGAGGAAGGUGGGGACGACGUCAAGUCAUCAUGGCCCUUACGAGUAGGGCUACACACGUGCUACAAUGGCAGAUACAGAGGGCAGCGACGCUGCGAAGUAGAGCGAAUCCCUUAAAGUCUGUCGUAGUCCGGAUUGGAGUCUGCAACUCGACUCCAUGAAGUCGGAAUCGCUAGUAAUCGUGGAUCAGAAUGCCACGGUGAAUACGUUCCCGGGCCUUGCACACACCGCCCGU